RNAcentral lists this ribosomal RNA (253 nucleotides) under uncultured bacterium. RNAcentral describes it as "partial 16S ribosomal RNA". It matches the Rfam family "Bacterial small subunit ribosomal RNA", at positions 524 to 776 of the family's 1533-position model. The record is from RNAcentral.
UACAGAGGUCUCAAGCGUUGUUCGGAUUCAUUGGGCGUAAAGGGUGCGUAGGCGGCGCGGUAAGUCGGGUGUGAAAUCUUGGAGCUUAACUCCGAAACUGCAUUCGAUACUGCCGUGCUUGAGGACUGGAGAGGAGACUGGAAUUUACGGUGUAGCGGUGAAAUGCGUAGAUAUCGUAAGGAAGACCAGUGGCGAAGGCGGGUCUCUGGACAGUUCCUGACGCUGAGGCACGAAGGCCAGGGGAGCAAAAGGG